Molecule: ribosomal RNA, 962 nt
Filed under: uncultured bacterium
Lineage: Bacteria
Description: bacterial SSU rRNA
Rfam family: Bacterial small subunit ribosomal RNA
Source: RNAcentral
GACGAACGCUGGCGGCGUGCUUAACACAUGCAAGUCGAACGAUGAACCGCUUUCGGGCGGGGAUUAGUGGCGAACGGGUGAGUAACACGUGGGCAAUCUGCCCUGCACUCUGGGACAAGCCCUGGAAACGGGGUCUAAUACCGGAUAUGACUGUCCAUCGCAUGGUGGAUGGUGUAAAGCUCCGGCGGUGCAGGAUGAGCCCGCGGCCUAUCAGCUUGUUGGUGAGGUAGUGGCUCACCAAGGCGACGACGGGUAGCCGGCCUGAGAGGGCGACCGGCCACACUGGGACUGAGACACGGCCCAGACUCCUACGGGAGGCAGCAGUGGGGAAUAUUGGGCAAUGGGCGCAACCCUGACCCAGCGACGCCGCGUGAGGGAUGAAGGUCUUCGGAUUGUAAACCCCUUCAGUGGGGAAGAAGCGAAAGUGACGGUACCCAAAGAAGAAGCACCGGCUAACUAUGUGCCAGCAGCCGCGGUAAUACAUAGGGUGCAAGCGUUGUCCGGAAUUAUUGGGGCGUAAAGAGCUCGUAGGUGGUUUUAUCACGUCGGAUGUGAAAUUCUGAGGCUCAACCUCGGACCUUGCAUUCGAUACGGGCAAACUAGAGUGUGGUAGGGGAGACUGGAAUUCCUGGUGUAGCGGUGGAAUGCGCAGAUAUCAGGAGGAACACCAAUGGCGAAGGCAGGUCUCUGGGCCAUUACUGACACUGAGGAGCGAAAGCGCGGGGAGCGAACAGGAUUAGAUACCCUGGUAGUCCGCGCCGUAAACGGUGGGCACUAGUUGUGGGAACCUUCCACGGUUUCCGCGACGCAGCUAACGCAUUAAGUGCCCCGCCUGGGGAGUACGAUCGCAAGAUUAAAACUCAAAGGAAUUGACGGGGCCCCGCACAAGCAGCGGAGCAUGCGGCUUAAUUCGACGCAACGCGAAGGACCUUACCAAGGCUUGACGUAUAGAGAAAAGUGGC